AUGCCCUUACUUCUGGGCCCCUUUGUCCGCUGUAGGCUCAGCGCCACGCUCCUUGCGCUCUGGCUCGUCCUCUCUGGCUUCACCUGCACUGGUGGAGAAUUUGUGGUAAUUUCCGUGGGAAGAAAAUCACGGUGGUCGAAAUCUGUGGGCUACAUCUGCCAGUCAUCGGUUAAUUUCCUGUGGUUUCCACUCCCAUAUCCUUUAACAUCAGUGAUUCUAACUUUGACCCAUCAGUUUUGUGGUGUUUUGCCAGUGUCAACGUUUGUGCGCUGCCUCCGAGCUUGGUGGAAAUGAGGAAAUGAGUGCAGCUGGUGCUGUGCUGGUGGAAGAGGUUAAGAGGUUGUUAAGUUGAGUCCCGGGUCUUUCCCUGGACGUUCUAAUCAAAUGUUAUUUUCCCUGGAGCUUUUGUCUCUCACUUCCUGCAUCAUGAGGAGGAAGGAGAUGUAAAGCAGAGCUUCAACCUUUGAUGCUCAUCUGUUCUUUUGCUGUUUAUAAAAAAUAAAAUAAAAAUGUGAAGACCCGUGAAUAUUAAUAUCCCAGAAAUUAUUCACAGUACGACAUUACUAGUGCUGCCAGUGUAUUCUGUAGUUGGAGUCUCCAGAGUUUCUUGACCAUGACUUUGGUGACUUUUAUUUAACCAGACAACAGAUGGGGCCAUCCAGAGCGGUGCACCCUUACUGCGAAUCCACAGUAAGAAAAAUUAAAUGUGAGUAGAACAUGAGUACCGCUGUGGCGCUUCAAUCCACACUGAUUUGACUGACCCCCGUUUAGGCAUCGUCAGAAGCAGCUGUGUCCCAGUCAGCAGCACAGAGCAGCUCUGAGCAGAGCUGUAGGACAAUCUUCGCCGGCCUGAUUUACAGCAGGAAUUUACAGUAAUUGUAAAAUUCAGAAAAAUGGUUUUCAUGUAGCCUCAGCGUGAGGAAAUCAAAUUGUUUUUAUGUAUUUAUAGUAACACUAGGAGGCUUGAUCAUCACGGAUACCAUUAAUAAUCGGAGAACAACAACAGAUUUGUGUGAUUUUUAAACAGCUGUCUGAGGAGAAGACACUUCAUUACUAUUAGCGGGAAAAUAAAUGUAGGGGUACCAACGUGACGUCUCAGAGUCGGUGUGGGCGGGUGUGAGUGAUACAUGUGGAAAAACCCAUCUGAAAACACUCUGUUUGGGGAUUGGCCUUGAGAUGCAAUCUUGUGUGAUAAGGCUUUCCUGUAUUUGUUUUUAGUAUACAUGAUGUACUGUCUGGUUGCUAACACUGCACAGUGAGAAUAGCAGUGUGUUAGGAGACGUUUUCAGGUCUUUCCUGUUCUCCGGGUGAUCAAUACUCUUCUCCAAAUGGUUAAUUGGCCAUCAGUCACUGUCAGAGGAAGUGCGUAGAAACCCAGAGGUGUCUUGGUGCAGCUCAUAAUAAGAGCUUGUCCAGUCCUCUGGGUCCUCUCUUGGCCUUUACUUCAGGCCAGGUGGUGGCUGGGGAAAGCAGAUCUGAAUGCAAUAUGGAGAGCUGUAGAUUAAUAGUUUCUUACUAAGGCCACCAGGGAGCGAUGUGAAAGCCACUUCCACUUCAUCACACAGUUGACUGGAUGGAAAGAGUGUAAAGCUUGCAGUAGGAAAGGAAGCUUAAAGCAGUGUGAAGGUCAUUUGAUGUGGUCACACAUUGAAAAGAUUUGACCAGAUUUGAUCAAAUUUGUUGUGUAAAUGUUUCAUUUUUUUCAAAUUCUCUUGUCUGUGUGGCAGGUACAGUCGUAUGCACGUUUGUGGCAACCCAGGUGUUAGUAUCAACACUUCACCGAGUUCGAAAUUACAUGUUUUGGUGUUUGUUGUUGGGUUUUUUUUGGUUUGUUUUGAACGGAACUAAAGGAAGUCUGUGCUGCAACAGUGUAAUAAAAAAUUAGCACUUUGCACUUCUUCAAAUGUUGCUGUUUUUAUUUAAUGAACUAAAAAAAUAAUAAUUGGGUUUGGGUAGCCUUGUACCUGUGAAGUCACAGAAUUUCAUUAAGCCCUUUAAGUCUUAAAGGCUUUAAUUGACUCAGCAGGACUCAUUAGAAAUAAUAGCUGAUUGUAACAUUGAACAAUGACCGGUUCCUCCAAGCAAAUGCUGUGCACCUAAAAGCUACUAAAGCUGAAGGUUUAGACGGGAAAAAAGUGUUAUUUGGCCCAAAAAAGUAUCUAUAAAAAAACUUUCAAGUAAAACUGAACAUUUGCAGGAAAGACUCAUGCCUCCAACCAUAUUAUAAUAUUUGUCAGUUUUUCAUACAAUCUGGCAUGACCCAUGUAAGUGUUAC
Molecule: long non-coding RNA, 2275 nt
Organism: Oreochromis niloticus (Nile tilapia)
Lineage: Eukaryota; Metazoa; Chordata; Actinopteri; Cichliformes; Cichlidae
Source: Ensembl